UACGAAGGGGGCUAGCGUUGCUCGGAAUCACUGGGCGUAAAGCGCACGUAGGCGGCUUCUUAAGUCAGGGGUGAAAUCCUGGAGCUCAACUCCAGAACUGCCUUUGAUACUGAGAGUCUUGAGUUCGGGAGAGGUGAGUGGAACUGCGAGUGUAGAGGUGAAAUUCGUAGAUAUUCGCAAGAACACCAGUGGCGAAGGCGGCUCACUGGCCCGAUACUGACGCUGAGGCACGAAAGCGUGGGGAGCAAACAGG
This 253-nucleotide ribosomal RNA is filed under the name uncultured bacterium. RNAcentral's name for it is "partial 16S ribosomal RNA". It matches the Rfam family "Bacterial small subunit ribosomal RNA", at positions 524 to 776 of the family's 1533-position model. The record is from RNAcentral.